UACGUAGGGUGCAAGCGUUGUCCGGAAUUAUUGGGCGUAAAGCGCGUGUAGGCGGGAGGCCAAGUCUGUGGUGAAAUCGCCUGGCUUAACUGGGCGGGGUCCAUGGAAACUGGUCACCUGGAGGUCGGUAGAGGCAAGUGGAAUUCCCGGUGUAGUGGUGAAAUGCGUAGAGAUCGGGAGGAACACCAGUGGCGAAGGCGGCUUGCUGGGCCGGACCUGACGCUGAGACGCGAAGGCGUGGGGAGCGAACGGG
RNAcentral lists this ribosomal RNA (253 nucleotides) under uncultured bacterium. RNAcentral's name for it is "partial 16S ribosomal RNA". It matches the Rfam family "Bacterial small subunit ribosomal RNA", at positions 524 to 776 of the family's 1533-position model. The record is from RNAcentral.